UGGGGAAUUUUGGACAAUGGGGGCAACCCUGAUCCAGCCAUGCCGCGUGUGUGAAGAAAGGCCUUCGGGUUGUAAAGCACUUUCGGACGGAACGAAAUCGCGUCGGUGAAUAUCCGGCGUGGAUGACGGUACCGUAAGAAGAAGCACCGGCUAACUACGUG
Molecule: ribosomal RNA, 161 nt
Filed under: uncultured Nitrospira sp.
Lineage: Bacteria; Pseudomonadati; Nitrospirota; Nitrospiria; Nitrospirales; Nitrospiraceae
Description: partial 16S ribosomal RNA
Rfam family: Bacterial small subunit ribosomal RNA
Source: RNAcentral